ACAGAUAGCUGGAUGAUCGCCGCUUGUCGAAAGACAAGGGGAGGAAAGUCCGGGCUCCACGGAAAUACGAUGCCGGUUAAUGGCCGGCGGGGGCGACCCCAGGGAAAGUGCCACAGAAAGCAAACCGCCCGGGAUUUCCGGGUAAGGGUGAAAGGGUGCGGUAAGAGCGCACCGCGCGCCUGGUAACAGGAGCGGCACGGUAAACCCCAUCGGGAGCAAAACCAAAUAGGGAUGGUCGGCGCAGGGGCAACCUGUGCGCAAGCCGGUUUUCCGGGCUAUCAUCCGGGUUGGUUGCUUGAGGUGUCUGGUAACAGGCAUCCUAGAUGAAUGAUCAUCACCUGCAUUCAGGGACAGAACCCGGCUUACAGGCUAUCUGUCUUA
This 381-nucleotide RNase P RNA is filed under the name Sneathiella litorea. RNAcentral describes it as "Bacterial RNase P class A". It matches the Rfam family "Bacterial RNase P class A". From Rfam's summary of the family: Ribonuclease P (RNase P) is a ubiquitous endoribonuclease, found in archaea, bacteria and eukarya as well as chloroplasts and mitochondria. Its best characterised activity is the generation of mature 5'-ends of tRNAs by cleaving the 5'-leader elements of precursor-tRNAs. Cellular RNase Ps are ribonucleoproteins. Lineage: Bacteria; Pseudomonadati; Pseudomonadota; Alphaproteobacteria; Sneathiellales; Sneathiellaceae. The record is from Rfam by way of RNAcentral.